UACGUAGGGGGCAAGCGUUGUCCGGAUUCAUUGGGUUUAAAGGGAGCGUAGGUGGCCUUAUAAGUCAGUGGUGAAAUCUCUCAGCUUAACUGAGAAAUUGCCAUUGAUACUGUAGGGCUUGAGUAUAGUUGCCGUUGGCGGAAUAUGACAUGUAGUGGUGAAAUACAUAGAGAUGUCAUAGAACACCGAUUGCGAAGGCAGCUGACGAAACUAUAACUGACACUGAGGCUCGAAAGUGCGGGGAUCAAACAGG
Molecule: ribosomal RNA, 253 nt
Filed under: uncultured bacterium
Lineage: Bacteria
Description: partial 16S ribosomal RNA
Rfam family: Bacterial small subunit ribosomal RNA
Source: RNAcentral